Non-coding RNA from Pelobates cultripes (western spadefoot toad), 323 nucleotides. NCBI's taxonomy places the organism in Eukaryota, Metazoa, Chordata, Amphibia, Anura, Pelobatidae. The record is from the annotation of a GenBank genome assembly.
AUCUACUCACAUUUCAAAGAUUCCUUGCCUGCCGAGUCCGACCACUGGGUGCCUCACCGCCCGGAAAUGGAUCCUUCCGCUGAAGAUCCGUGAAGGAAGACUGACGGCGCUGCGAAAGGUCGUCAUCACGUUGCGCAAUGCCGCAGCCCGCAACGCUCCUCCCCCUCCUCCUCAUACGGUAGAAGAAGGAAGUCUCGCCGGGCCGCAAAGGUGCAAUGCCUAGGUCUUAUUUUCGGGGUAGGGCUUAUAUUGCAGCCCACCCCGAUAAUCCGGCUAGGGCUUAUUUUCGGGGUAGGGUGUAUUUUCGGGGAAACAGGGUAUAA